RNAcentral lists this long non-coding RNA (1689 nucleotides) under Bos indicus x Bos taurus (hybrid cattle). Its description in RNAcentral is "lncRNA (ENSBIXG00005011191.1)". The record is from RNAcentral. Lineage: Eukaryota; Metazoa; Chordata; Mammalia; Artiodactyla; Bovidae.
AUGUCUGUUUCCUCUGCCAGGCUGGUGUGGAAGCCGACCCGUGUUUCUUCCCCCAUCCGAAUGCUGGGGAAGCAGCAAGGAGGUUGCUUAAACACUUCGCUAAGAAGAGAGCAUUGUAAGAAGAAAUUAAAAAAUUGCAGCACCGGAAGUUCAAGUCAAUUCUAUUGGAAGCUGGUCUUUUUUUUUUUCCAGAAGGUUCUGGAUGGAACAGACUGGACUCUUUCAAUAAGGGUUUUAAUAUGCAAUUUAAUUUACAAUAGAAUGUCCUAUAUGACUAGAAAAUGAAAGAGAAGUAAAUGCUAGAGAUAUUUCUUAGGACUUUUGGGUGUCAAAACACUGAAAUUAGGUGUUCCAGGAGCUUGGGAAUCAGAGCCUCUAGAAGUGGGGCCCACUCAGCAUAUUAGUAAUGAUGUUCCUGGACUGGGUAGAGGGUCUCCAGGCUUUAAAGGCAAGUAUGGUGAAGCAAGUACCCUUGAGAGUCUUCCUUUGGUAAUUAUAUUUUUCACUACUCUGGUGAAGGUUCUUUCUGGAACUUUUUUGGGUAUCAGAAGGUGUUGGAUGAGCAGUUCUUAGAUGAUAAAUCUACUCUAGCAUUCCAGUUUCCCUAGAUUUUAUACCAAUGGAGCCUUGGUGUUUUGUCUUGGUUUAGUGUGGGCUACCAGGUUUUGGUUAAUUUAUCAGGCUAACUCUUACAGCCACUCAGGAUGGUGCAUUCAAUCCAGGAUCUUGGCUUCCAGCUCUCGUAUCAAUGACUUCAGUCUUGUCCAAUGUUACAUUCCUCCCAUCCCUUAGAACCCACUUCCUUACAUGCUUCUCAGGUUUCUGUCUAUAUAGACUGACAGAAUCUUGCAAUAUUUUGAUGUUACUGUCAUUUUCUCAUGGCUUACCCUGCAGCUCAGGCUGAUGAGACUUGAGUCUGGUUGGAAGUCUAGAAGCAAGGAGAGGUAGUGAGGGUCUUAGGGGAAUCAGCAGUCCCUUGCAAGGCAAAUACCUCAAUGAAAGCUCUCAUAGAGUUCUUAGACAAGGGGAUCCUGACCUCAGAGAUGAAGAGCAUCUUCCUGCAAAGGAUCCUCAGCAGAAUUGGGGGCAGGGCACUCAUGGUCUUCAGCUUCACUAGAAUUUGUUCAUGUGUCCCAAUUCCAAUUUUUACUUUUUCUUAAGGUCCUAACUUUAACAUAAGAAACCCUUCAGGAUGGUGAAUUCAGUUUGCCUUGUAAUUCAGUUACCAGAAAGAUUUGGUUUUGUGUUUGUUUUUCAGAACUUUUGGCCCUGUGUCUAUAGGAAGAAAGAUAAUUUGUAAUGAUGUCAUUCAAGCAUUCUGAUAGCUUGGGCUGGGAAUUCAAAGUCCUGAAUUCAUCAUUUCCCCUCUAAGUUCUUGAUUUUAUUUAGAAGCAACUAACUGAUUCCAUGCUACAUCUUAUUUCCACUAAAAUAUUUUUUGACGUGGAUGACUUGGUUACCCAAGCCCAGGUAUCUGCAAGUGAUAAGCUCUCAUUCUUUUGCCACUACUUAGUACACAUGCUUCAGUUGUUCUUUCAAAAACAGGAUCAGGCAUCUACUACGUGUCAGAGACUCUUCUGGUUUUCUGGAUUUACGCCAUAACCAAGACAGAAACCAUCCCUACUCUCAUUUAGCUUAGUUCUAAGGGGACAGACAGAUAGAUUAAAAAUAAAUUUUAUUAAAUUUUCA